UAUCCUAAGGCGCUCGGGGGAACUGUGGUAAAGGAACUCGGCAAAAUGGCCCCGUAACUUCGGGAUAAGGGGCGCCCCUUGGAGAAGGCUUCGCAAGAAGAACCGGGGGGCUGCAGGAAUCGGUUGUUACGACUGUUUACUAAAAACACAGGUCUCUGCCAAGUCCACAAAGACGACGUAUAGAGACUGACGCUUGCUCGGUGCCGGAAGGUCAAGGUGAGGGGUCAGCCCGCAAGGGCGAAGCUCCGAGCCGAAGCCCCGGUUAACGGCGGCCGUAACUAUGACGGUCCUAAGGUAGCGAAGUUCCUUGUCGGGUAAGUUCCGACGCGCAUGAAUAGCGUAACGUGGCAACGCUGUCUCUACCGCAGACCCGGCGAAAUUGUAGUAGCGGUGAAGAUGCCGCUUACCCGCAGUUAGACGGAAAGACCCCGUGAACCUUCACUGUAGCCUAUUAUUGAGUUUGGGUGUGGCAUGUGUAGGAUAGGUGGGAGGCAUUGAAGCUGGGACGCCAGUCUCAGCAGAGCCGCCGGUGAAAUACCACCCUUGUUGCAUCUAAAUCCUAACUCGAUUCCUUGAACCAGGGUCCAGGACAGUGAUAGGUGGGCAGUUUGGCUGGGGCGGCUUCCUCCUAAAGAGUAACGGAGGAGCCCAAAGGCACCUUCAGCGCGGUUGGCAAUCGCGCGGAGAGCGUAAGGGUAUAAGGGUGCCUGACUGUGAGACCAAUAAGUCGAGCAGAGGUGAAAGCCGGGCCUAAUGAUCCGGCGUUACCGGGUGGAAGGGACGUCGCUCAUCAGAUAAAAGGUACUCCGGGGAUAACAGGCUGAUCUCUCCCAAGAGUCCAUAUCGACGGGGAGGUUUGGCACCUCGAUGUCGGCUCAUCACAUCCUGGGGCUGUAGGAGGUCCCAAGGGUUCGGCUGUUCGCCGAUUAAAGUGGUACGCGAGCUGGGUUUAGACCGGCGUGAGCCAGGUCGGUCCCUAUCUACUGUGGGUGCAGGAGACUCGCGGGGAGCUGUCCCUAGUACGAGAGGAUCGGGAUGGACGGACCUCUGGUGUACCUGUUGUCUCGUCAGAGGCACCGCAGGGUAGCUAUGUCCGGAAGGGAUAAGCGCUGAAAGCAUAUAAGUGCGAAGCCCCCCCCAAAACGAGGUCUCCCUGAAGGCACCUCGAAGACGACGAGGUUGAUAGGCCGGAGGUGUAAGCACGGCAACGUGUUCAGCCGACCGGUACUAAUCUGCCGUUCGGCUUGACCGU
RNAcentral lists this ribosomal RNA (1252 nucleotides) under metagenome. RNAcentral's name for it is "bacterial LSU rRNA". It matches the Rfam family "Bacterial large subunit ribosomal RNA", at positions 1677 to 2925 of the family's 2925-position model. The record is from RNAcentral.